This 67-nucleotide ribosomal RNA is filed under the name Tomentella sublilacina. RNAcentral describes it as "partial 28S ribosomal RNA". The stretch from base 11 to 67 matches the Rfam family "Eukaryotic large subunit ribosomal RNA", at positions 1 to 57 of the family's 3401-position model. Lineage: Eukaryota; Fungi; Basidiomycota; Agaricomycetes; Thelephorales; Thelephoraceae. RNAcentral also lists the same sequence under 2 other names. The record is from RNAcentral.
UUUGAACGUUCGAUCUCAAAUCAGGUAGGACUACCCGCUGAACUUAAGCAUAUCAAUAAGCGGAGGA